RNAcentral lists this ribosomal RNA (363 nucleotides) under Iranolacerta brandtii. RNAcentral describes it as "partial 12S ribosomal RNA". It matches the Rfam family "Bacterial small subunit ribosomal RNA", at positions 866 to 1395 of the family's 1533-position model. Lineage: Eukaryota; Metazoa; Chordata; Lepidosauria; Squamata; Lacertidae. The record is from RNAcentral.
UUUCCGCCAGAGAACUACAAGUGAAAAACUUGAAACUCAAAGGACUUGACGGUGUUCCAUAUCGACCUAGAGGAGCCUGUCCUAUAAUCGAUACUCCCCGCUCCACCCAACCACAACUAGCAUAACAUCAGCCUAUAUACCGCCGUCGACAGCCUACCCUGUGAAGGUCUAACAGUAGACACAAUAGUCCUAUCACUAAUACGUCAGGUCAAGGUGUAGCAAAUGUUGUGGAAGAGAUUGGCUACAUUUUUUAUUAUAAAAAAUACGAAAAAUACUAUGAAACAGUAUAUGAAGGUGAAUUUAGUAGUAAAAUAGACAAGAGUGUCCAUUUUAACAACGCUCUGGAACGCGUACACACCGCCC